This 230-nucleotide ribosomal RNA is filed under the name uncultured Lactobacillus sp. RNAcentral's name for it is "partial 16S ribosomal RNA". It matches the Rfam family "Bacterial small subunit ribosomal RNA", at positions 135 to 355 of the family's 1533-position model. Lineage: Bacteria; Bacillati; Bacillota; Bacilli; Lactobacillales; Lactobacillaceae. The record is from RNAcentral.
AGAUCGGGAUAACACCUGGAAACAGAUGCUAAUACCNGGGAAUAACAACAGAUGAUGCCUAUCAACUGUUUAAAAGAUGGUUCUGCUAUCACUCUUGGAUGGACCUGCGGUGCAUUAGCUAGUUGGUAGGGUAACGGCCUACCAAGGCGAUGAUGCAUAGCCGAGUUGAGAGACUGAUCGGCCACAUUGGGACUGAGACACGGCCCAAACUCCUACGGGAGGCAGCAGCC